UGGCGGACGGGCGAGUAACGCGUGAGAAUCUGCCUUCAGGACGGAGACAACAGUUGGAAACGACUGCUAAGCCCCGAUGAACCGAAAGGGAAAAUAUUUAUAGCCUGAAGAUGAGCUCGCGUCCGAUUAGCUAGUUGGCGGAGUAAAAGCCCACCAAGGCGACGAUCGGUAGCUGGUCUGAGAGGACGAUCAGCCACACUGGGACUGAGACACGGCCCAG
This 220-nucleotide ribosomal RNA is filed under the name uncultured bacterium. RNAcentral's name for it is "partial 16S ribosomal RNA". It matches the Rfam family "Bacterial small subunit ribosomal RNA", at positions 96 to 334 of the family's 1533-position model. The record is from RNAcentral.